CAUGUAGGCGGUUGUUUAAGUCUGAUGUGAAAGCCCUGGGCUCAACCCAGGAAGUGCAUUGGAUACUGGGCAACUUGAGUACGGGAGAGGAAAGUGGAAUUUCGAGUGUAGGGGUGAAAUCCGUAGAUAUUCGAAGGAACACCAGUGGCGAAGGCGGCUUUCUGGACCGAUACUGACGCUGAGAUGCGAAAGCGUGGGGAGCAAACA
Molecule: ribosomal RNA, 207 nt
Filed under: uncultured bacterium
Lineage: Bacteria
Description: partial 16S ribosomal RNA
Rfam family: Bacterial small subunit ribosomal RNA
Source: RNAcentral